GACGAACGCUGGCGGCGUGCUUAACACAUGCGAGUCGAACGGUGAAGCGCCUUCCUUUUUGGUGGGUGUGGUUGAGUGGCGAACGGGUGCGUAACACGUGAGUACCCUGCCCCCUUCUUCUGGAUAACCGCAUGAAAGUGUGGCUAAUACGGGAUAUUCUGGGUCUGUCGCAUGAUGGGACUGGGAAAGCUAUUGUUUCGGUGGGGGAUGGGCUGGCGGCCUGUCAGCUUGUAGGUGGGGUGAUGGCCUACCAAGGCGGUGAGGGUUAGCCGGCCUGAGAGGGUGGACGGUCACACGGGGAGUGAGACACGGUCGGGACUCCGACGGGACGCAGCAGCGUGGGAGAGUGCGCAAUGGGCGCAAGCCCGAAGCAGCGGCGCCGCGGGAGGGAUGGAGGCCUGCGGGUGGUGAAGCUCUUUCGCCAGUGAAGCAGGCCUGCCUCGUUUGUGGGUGGGUUGACGGUAGCGGGAUAAGAAGCGCCGGCUAACUACGUG
This 494-nucleotide ribosomal RNA is filed under the name uncultured bacterium. RNAcentral describes it as "partial 16S ribosomal RNA". It matches the Rfam family "Bacterial small subunit ribosomal RNA", at positions 28 to 507 of the family's 1533-position model. The record is from RNAcentral.